CGGCGGACGGGUGAGUAACGCGUGGGCAACCUGCCUUACACAGGGGGAUAACAAUUAGAAAUGAUUGCUAAUACCGCAUAAGACCACGGUACUGCAUGGUACAGUGGUAAAAACUGAGGUGGUGUAAGAUGGGCCCGCGUCUGAUUAGGUAGUUGGUGGGGUAGAAGCCUACCAAGCCGACGAUCAGUAGCCGACCUGAGAGGGCGACCGGCCACAUUGGGACUGAGACACGGCCCAAACUCCUACGGAAGGCAGCAG
This 258-nucleotide ribosomal RNA is filed under the name uncultured bacterium. Its description in RNAcentral is "partial 16S ribosomal RNA". It matches the Rfam family "Bacterial small subunit ribosomal RNA", at positions 96 to 354 of the family's 1533-position model. The record is from RNAcentral.